This 2391-nucleotide long non-coding RNA is filed under the name Triticum aestivum (bread wheat). Its description in RNAcentral is "long non-coding RNA (TAES_LNC008758)". Lineage: Eukaryota; Viridiplantae; Streptophyta; Magnoliopsida; Poales; Poaceae. The record is from RNAcentral.
UUUGAAUGCCAACGUUCCUCAAUUUCAUGUCUAAAAAUCAUAUACACUUGAUAUUUUGUAUUUUGAGUUGAGUACACAUUCCAAGGAGCCUUAGAGAUGCGUUGAUGUAGCUGAAAAUAUUGAUUGUGCUUUGAGCUUCCCGUAGCUUGGCAUGCAUCACCCGCCUUUCACACGUGUAAUCAUUGGGAAACCCAUCUUACAGAUACAUGGUUGUAAAACAUAACCUUGAAUAGAGCCGAGUUGAAAACCAAGCCAAAGACCGAGGGAAAGAUAUGAAUGUCUAUUGGUUUAUAUUGUAAUUACUAAAAAUUAGGAAACAACAUCAUUUGUUGGAAAUACAAUGGAAAUUAAGAGGCGUGAUAACCAAACCAUACUACAUUAAAGGUUAUAACAAGUUGAAAGUUCUAUUUAUUUAUGUAUGCCCACCUAGAGGAAUUAUGGCUGAAAUGACAUGCCAUGAAAUUGGAGGUGUAGUGCGUGUUGGAGAAACAUGAUGGAAGUUCUUCUCAUAGAAACACAUGAGACACAUUAGUAAUAACAUAAUGAUCAUGUAUCAUGGAAAGACUUGUUAGCCAAGUACUAUUAUUUUCACAUCAAGAUACAAAUGGAAGUGAAGGUAAAUUACAAAGCUAAUGUAAUCAUUCCAUAGACAUAGAGUAAAGCUGGAAAUACAAAGAAGAACAGAUGCACAAAUGGACAUUACUCAAAUUAUCACAUGGAGAUCAAAAUUUAAAGAUUCACAGAAGAAACUAUAUGCUAAUAUGCAAUGUGCAAAUAUAUAAUAGCAUGGUAAAAAAUAAAUAGCAAUGAUAUAUCCCCUAUUAUAGUGGACAUAGAUAUCGAAGGUGCUGAUCAUGGUGUUGUCAAAAGCAGACUGUCUAUAUAUGUUGAUGAGGUUGCGCUUCUCCUUCUAGCAUACAAUGUUGAACAUUACCAUCAACACUUCUAAAACAACAUAGAAAGGAACCUCGUCAUCUAAAAUUUGGGUUAUAUAAUAAUGCUAUAUAGUCAAUCUGAGCAGGACAUGAUAAUAAAUACACAUGAUCGGUAAACUUCAAAACCAUACAACAUAUGAGCAUAUUGCAAAAAGAUAGAGAUGCUACAUGAGCAAUGCAUAUGAAGAAACUUAGGGAGCACACCUUCACAUCAUCAAAUGUAUGAUGCACGUUGUCAAUGCCAAGGAACACCCAAAGCAAAGAUUACACAGAGUCUAUCACAACCCUAGUCCUAUUAAAUCCCUAAGACAACAUCACACCUCAAUCAUAGCCAAGAAUAUUGCUAUAACAAUCAAUAAAUGAAGAAACCAUGUAAUAGCAACCGACUGCAUCAACCUGCCCGCUUGCUAGCAUUCUUCUUAAUAAGACAUGGCUACCCUAGUGAGUCAAUCAUAACUAUUACUACCUGAAACAAAAGCCAAUGAACCACAACAAUUUAUUCUAUAAUGCAGAAUUUGAAAGCUAAUCAACAUUCACACUGAUUUAGAAAAUACAAAAAGGUGAAUGGACACCUUAGGUGUACAUAUUCAAAGCACACACCCAAGAUUUGAAAGCUCAUUCACAUUCACAUAGAUUUAGAGAGUACAAAAGGGUGAAUUGACAGCUUAGGUGUACAUAUUCAAAGCACACACCCAAUCAGAUACUUCCAAAAAUUAUGAGAAAACAAACCAUAUUCAUGAUCUCUUUUCUUUGCUAUCCCCUUCCAUGUUUGCAUGACACACACCUAGCUACAUGAGAAGAAAUUAAGCAACUUUGUGAACAUGCUACAAAAAAACAGUGUUAAGAGUUUUAGUUUCUAAUAUAACACACAUGGAUGGGGCAUAGAUCAUGACACUGCAGAAUAUGGUAAUUGCAGAUCGCAACAACUGUCCAAAAAACAUUUAUACACAUACCAUUUAAUUGGGCGGGCAAUGAUGGAUCCUGCCCAAUCGAAGGAGAAUUUGUCUCGCCCAAGUUGAUUUAUCGCAUCUCGAAAACCAAAUAUUUUGCUACCCUAAAAUGAAGCCAAUUUCGUGAAAGCAGGAACAAAACCUGAGCAACGACAAAGAAAAAAGCUAAUUUGCGCCAUAAUUUGCAUCCAAAGGAGGAGGGGGAGGUCCCUCAAAGGUCUCUCUCAUAGGGCCAUAUGAGGAAGAAGCCCCUCACUGUGACGUGCUCCAUGGCUGCUGGAUCGGAGCUCCAUGCCCCCUCACUCCUUAGCCGGAACAGACCUGCGAGGGUUCGACUGCCAUGCCGCAAUGUCAUGAUGCGACUCCUCAUGCGAGGUGGGAUCUGGCCCUCUCACCCCUCUCCUAGAACGGAUCUACAUGACCACAACAAAAGCAAUGCUUUGGGUGUGGCGGAUCUAGCCUCUGCCUCACCUACUCGAGAAGGGGAGACAACAGCGGUGGGCGCC